UACAUGGGGUGCAAACGUUGUCCGGAUUCAUUGGGUUUAAAGGGUGCGCAGGCGGGACAUUAAGUCAGGGGUGAAAGACGGUUGCUCAACAAUCGCAGUGCCUUUGAUACUGGUGUUCUUGGGUGACCUUGAGGUAGGCGGAAUGGGUGGUGUAGCGGUGAAAUGCAUAGAUACCACCCAGAACUCCGAUUGCGAAGGCAGCCUACUGGAGGUUUACCGACGCUCAGGCACGAAAGCGUGGGGAGCAAACAGG
RNAcentral lists this ribosomal RNA (253 nucleotides) under uncultured bacterium. Its description in RNAcentral is "partial 16S ribosomal RNA". It matches the Rfam family "Bacterial small subunit ribosomal RNA", at positions 524 to 776 of the family's 1533-position model. The record is from RNAcentral.